RNAcentral lists this ribosomal RNA (110 nucleotides) under uncultured eukaryote. RNAcentral's name for it is "partial small subunit ribosomal RNA". It matches the Rfam family "Bacterial small subunit ribosomal RNA", at positions 1419 to 1525 of the family's 1533-position model. The record is from RNAcentral.
ACCAGAAGACGUCAGAGCCAACCCGCAAGGGAGGUGGACGGCCAAGGUGAAGCCUCUGACUGGGGUGAAGUCGUAACAAGGUAGCCGUAGGUGAACCUGCAGAAGGAUCA